CACCAUGACCCGACCUGUUUUUUUAGCCAGCAUGUGCAACUCUCUUAUGAGAACUUAUAGUCACCAUAUACUGUGGUAAGAGAUGUACAGGUGGUGCAGGGUAGACAGAAGUGUCACUGGGGACGUUCUGUUCAGACAAAGUUGCGAAGACUCUACAAAGCCUCCAGGGGCCUUGCAUGACCAGAACAGUAUGCAGAUGAACGCAGAACUAGACGCGACUCCUCCAAACCUCACCUGAACAAACAGGAACUCUUGGCUUCUCAGUGAGGUGAUGUCUGGCUUUUCCAAUGAAAUCUCACAGGUAAUUGCUGGUCUGUGCCGGGAACCUGACUACAGUGAACUGCCUGUGCCCAACCUGUGUCACCUGGAGAAUGCCCCACCCCAGGUGGUAAGCAUGGAAGGAGUUAGCAGCAGGAGGCACCAGGCAACCGAUCAGGAGGCCUCUCUGGGGCCCUCCCCGCCUCCUUCCUCAGCAUGCAGCCUGUAUCCAGUCAGUGUUCGGAGGGUGACAGCAUCAGAAAACCCACGAAAUAGCCUUCAGGGGACGAGCUGCGAUGAGCUAUGUGGCCCCGCAUAUUUUGGAACCACCCAGGGAUAACGUUCCGAUUGUAAUUAAAAAUGAG
This is a long non-coding RNA of Mus caroli (Ryukyu mouse), 623 nucleotides long. RefSeq lists it as uncharacterized. NCBI's taxonomy places the organism in Eukaryota, Metazoa, Chordata, Mammalia, Rodentia, Muridae. The record is from RefSeq and is a predicted model, not a curated record.